Carassius auratus (goldfish) is the source of this 165-nucleotide long non-coding RNA. RefSeq lists it as uncharacterized. Lineage: Eukaryota; Metazoa; Chordata; Actinopteri; Cypriniformes; Cyprinidae. The transcript is spliced from 3 exons. The record is from RefSeq and is a predicted model, not a curated record.
UAAACCGUCAGCAUGCACUCAUUUUCCAAUUCAUUUUCUGAGCCUUUGAGGAUGAACAAGACCAACGAGAACCAGUCAGGUAAAAAUCAUUGGUGAAGUCACCAGAUGUGGAUGGCGUGUAUGUUGUUCGACAUUGCAGCGUGCUGAUGAGUUAAUAAAGAGGCA